The sequence is a transfer RNA, 92 nucleotides long. It matches the Rfam family "tRNA". From Rfam's summary of the family: Transfer RNA (tRNA) molecules are approximately 80 nucleotides in length. Their secondary structure includes four short double-helical elements and three loops (D, anti-codon, and T loops). Further hydrogen bonds mediate the characteristic L-shaped molecular structure. tRNAs have two regions of fundamental functional importance: the anti-codon, which is responsible for specific mRNA codon recognition, and the 3' end, to which the tRNAs corresponding amino acid is attached (by aminoacyl-tRNA synthetases). tRNAs cope with the degeneracy of the genetic code in two manners: having more than one tRNA (with a specific anti-codon) for a particular amino acid; and 'wobble' base-pairing, i.e. permitting non-standard base-pairing at the 3rd anti-codon position.
GGUGAGAUGGCCGAGCGGUCUAAGGCGCCAGACUAAGGAGAUUUUCUGCCAUCUGGUCCUCACGGGCGUGGGUUCGAAUCCCACUCUCAUCA